AUACGGAGGGUGCAAGCGUUAAUCGGAAUUACUGGGCGUAAAGCGCGCGUAGGCGGUUUAGUCAGUCAGAUGUGAAAGCCCCGGGCUCAACCUGGGAACUGCAUUUGAUACUGCUGAACUAGAGUAUGGUAGAGGGAAGUGGAAUUCCGGGUGUAGCGGUGAAAUGGGUAGAUAUCCGGAGGAACACCAGUGGCGAAGGCGACUUCCUGGACCAAUACUGACGCUGAGGUGCGAAAGCGUGGGUAGCAAACAGGAUUAGAUACCCUAGUAGUCC
Molecule: ribosomal RNA, 274 nt
Filed under: uncultured bacterium
Lineage: Bacteria
Description: partial 16S ribosomal RNA
Rfam family: Bacterial small subunit ribosomal RNA
Source: RNAcentral